This 484-nucleotide ribosomal RNA is filed under the name uncultured bacterium. Its description in RNAcentral is "partial 16S ribosomal RNA". It matches the Rfam family "Bacterial small subunit ribosomal RNA", at positions 30 to 507 of the family's 1533-position model. The record is from RNAcentral.
AUUGAACGCUGGCGGCAGGCCUAACACAUGCCAGUCGAGCGGAUGAAGGGAGCUUGCUCCUGGAUUCAGCGGCGGACGGGUGAGUAAUGCCUAGGAAUCUGCCUGGUAGUGGGGGAUAACGUCCGGAAACGGGCGCUAAUACCGCAUACGUCCUGAGGGAGAAAGUGGGGGAUCUUCGGACCUCACGCUAUCAGAUGAGCCUAGGUCGGAUUAGCUAGUUGGUGGGGUAAAGGCCUACCAAGGCGACGAUCCGUAACUGGUCUGAGAGGAUGAUCAGUCACACUGGAACUGAGACACGGUCCAGACUCCUACGGGAGGCAGCAGUGGGGAAUAUUGGACAAUGGGCGAAAGCCUGAUCCAGCCAUGCCGCGUGUGUGAAGAAGGUCUUCGGAUUGUAAAGCACUUUAAGUUGGGAGGAAGGGAAGUAAGUUAAUACCUUGCUGUUUUGACGUUACCAUCAGAAUAAACACCGGCUAACUUCGUG